This is a non-coding RNA of Chiloscyllium plagiosum (whitespotted bambooshark), 266 nucleotides long. NCBI's taxonomy places the organism in Eukaryota, Metazoa, Chordata, Chondrichthyes, Orectolobiformes, Hemiscylliidae. The record is from RefSeq and is a predicted model, not a curated record.
GACUCCUGACCGUAUGCUGCUCCAUUAUCAGGUUAUUUUUUCCACACUAUCUUUGACAGUCAAGAAUUCUUUUUUCCAAUAAUACCAGUGAUCAUUGCCAAAGCCCUGUUGCCUGUGGAGAGGAUGAUGUUUGACUUUCUUGUACAGCUGCAGUUUGAAUGGUGAAGGCGCUCCCACAACGUGGUUGGAAUAUUACAGCACUACUAACAGGGCUGCAUGUAAACAGGCUCAGUCCAGUUAAUCAAUACAUUCGGAAGGAUUUCCUC